This 493-nucleotide long non-coding RNA is filed under the name Calidris pugnax (ruff). RNAcentral describes it as "lncRNA (ENSCPUG00000012075.1)". The record is from RNAcentral. Lineage: Eukaryota; Metazoa; Chordata; Aves; Charadriiformes; Scolopacidae.
GACCAUGAGGGGCCUGUUUUGCAAAUAACCCUGCAUGUAAGUGGGCUGCUUUGAACAUGUGCCUCCUACUUGCUCUGCUACUCCCUACACCUCCAACCUGUGUUUCUCUGGCAAGAAAAUAAGUAGCUCCGAUUUGGAUAAUAAGCCUGUAUUUGUCAUGGGACUAGUUCCUUGAGUUCUCUGACACCAAGAAACUGGAGAAAGUCCUGACAACAUCGGAGCCAACUCAGCAGCAUCAUAUGGUCUCCUGGUGACUCAGACUGGACCAAUGCCCUGACCUCUUAUCCCAGCUAUAGCAACUUAUGUAAAGCUUGGAAAACUUCUCUCUGUGGGAGCAGUCCGCAUGGGCUCCGAUCAAUAGCAGGACUUGCAGCAGAGCACGAGCAAGGAUAUCUACUGGAAAGGUGAGCUGUGGUCACAAAGCUACUGUAUGAAGAUUUCUCAGGAUUAAGACUCAGUUUUAAUUUAGAGUAAUUUUUAUUACCCCCCAGCU